GAUGAACGCUGGCGGCGUGCCUAAUACAUGCAAGUCGAGCGAACAGACGAGGAGCUUGCUCCUCUGACGUUAGCGGCGGACGGGUGAGUAACACGUGGAUAACCUACCUAUAAGACUGGGAUAACUUCGGGAAACCGGAUCUAAUACCGGAUAAUAUAUCGAACCGCAUGGUUCAAUAGUGAAAGACGGUUUUGCUGUCACUUAUAGCUGGUUCCGGGCCGCAUUAGCUAGUUGGUAAGGUAACGGCUUACCAAGGCAACGAUGCGUAGCCGACCUGAGAGGGUGAUCGGCCACACUGGAACUGAGACACGGUCCAGACUCCUACGGGAGGCAGCAGUAGGGAAUAUUCCGCAAUGGGCGAAAGCCUGACGGAGCAACGCCGCGUGAGUGAUGAAGGUCUUCGGGUCGUAAAACUCUGUUAUUAGGGAAGAAAAAAUGCAUAAGUAACUAUGGCCGUUUUGACGGUACCUAAAGAGAAAGCAACGGCUAACUUCGUG
This 497-nucleotide ribosomal RNA is filed under the name uncultured bacterium. Its description in RNAcentral is "partial 16S ribosomal RNA". It matches the Rfam family "Bacterial small subunit ribosomal RNA", at positions 28 to 507 of the family's 1533-position model. The record is from RNAcentral.